This 74-nucleotide transfer RNA is filed under the name Perca flavescens (yellow perch). It matches the Rfam family "tRNA". Rfam says of the family: Transfer RNA (tRNA) molecules are approximately 80 nucleotides in length. Their secondary structure includes four short double-helical elements and three loops (D, anti-codon, and T loops). The record is from Rfam by way of RNAcentral. Lineage: Eukaryota; Metazoa; Chordata; Actinopteri; Perciformes; Percidae.
GGCUUGUUGUUCUAGGGGGGGCAUGAUUCUCGCUUAGGGUGCGAGAGGUCCAGGUUCAAAUCCCGGACGAGCCC